CACGCAUGGUAGGAGAGCGUUCUGUAAGCCUGCGAAGGUGUCUCGGAAGGGAUGCUGGAGGUAUCAGAAGUGCGAAUGCUGACAUGAGUAGCGAUAAAGGGGGUGAAAGGCCCCCUCGCCGUAAGCCCAAGGUUUCCUACGCAACGUUCAUCGGCGUAGGGUGAGUCGGCCCCUAAGGCGAGGCAGAAAUGCGUAGCUGAUGGGAAGCAGGUCAAUAUUCCUGCACCAUUGUUAGAUGCGAUGGGGGGACGGAUCGCGGAAGGUUGUCCGGGUGUUGGAAGUCCCGGUCGCUGCAUUGGAGAAGGCGCUUAGGCAAAUCCGGGCGCAGGAUUCAAGGGUGUGGCGCGAGCU
This 351-nucleotide ribosomal RNA is filed under the name Burkholderia cepacia. RNAcentral describes it as "bacterial LSU rRNA". It matches the Rfam family "Bacterial large subunit ribosomal RNA", at positions 1220 to 1575 of the family's 2925-position model. Lineage: Bacteria; Pseudomonadati; Pseudomonadota; Betaproteobacteria; Burkholderiales; Burkholderiaceae. The record is from RNAcentral.